RNAcentral lists this ribosomal RNA (907 nucleotides) under Bacillus safensis. Its description in RNAcentral is "bacterial SSU rRNA". It matches the Rfam family "Bacterial small subunit ribosomal RNA", at positions 210 to 1105 of the family's 1533-position model. Lineage: Bacteria; Bacillati; Bacillota; Bacilli; Caryophanales; Bacillaceae. The record is from RNAcentral.
GGCUGUCAAUUACCUAUGGACCCGCGGCGCUGUAGCUGGUUGGUGGGGUAAUGGCUCACCAAAGCGACAAUCCGUAUCCGACCUGAAAGGGUGAUCGGCCACACUGGGACUGAGACACAGCCCAAACUCCUACGGGAGGCAGCAAUAUGGAAUCUUCCGCAAUGGACGAAAGUCUGACGGACCAACGCCGCGUGAGUGAUGAAGGUUUUCGGAUCUUAAUGCUCUGUUGUUAGGGAAAAACAAGUGCGACAGUAACUGCUCGCACCUUGACGGUACCUAACCAGAACGCCACGGCUAACUACGUGCCAGCAUCCGCGGUAAUACGUAGGUGGCAAGCGUUGUCCGGAAUUAUUGGGCGUAAAGGGCUCGCAGGCGGUUUCUUAAGUCUGAUGUGAAAUCCCCCGGCUCAACCGGGGAGGGUCAUUGGAAACUGGGAAACUUGAGUGCAGAAGAGGAGAGUGGAAUUCCACGUGUAACGGUGAAAUGCGUAGAGAUGUGGAGGAACACCAAUGGCGAAUGAGACUCUCUGGUCUGUAACUGACGCUGAAGAGCAUAAGCGUGUGGAGCGAACAGGAUUAGAUACGCUGGUAGUCCACGCCAUAAACGAUGAGUGCUACGUGUUAGGGGGUUUCUUCCCCUUACUGCUGCAGCUAUAGCAUUACGCACUCCGCCUGCGGAGUACUGGUCUCAAGACCGACACUCACAGGAAUUGACGGGGACCCGCACAAGCGGUCGUAGCAUGUGAUUAAAUUCGCAUGCAGCGUCGAAGACACCUACCUAGACAUGACGUCCUGCUGACACUCUAGAGAUAGGGCUUUCGCAUGGUGGACGUCAGUGACAUGUCGUGCAUGUAGUAGUCAUCUCAUCACGACGAGCAGGUCGGCUACUCCCGCACGAUCGUCACCCU